CUACGGGCGGCUCCAGUGGGGAAUAUUGGGCAAUGGACGAAAGUCUGACCCAGCGACGCCGCGUGAGGGAAGAAGGUCUUCGGAUUGUAAACCUCUGUUGAUAGGGAAGAAGAAAGUGACGGUACCUAUCGAGGAAGCCACGGCUAACUACGUGCCAGCAGCCGCGGUAAUACGUAGGUGGCAAGCGUUAUCCGGAAUUACUGGGUGUAAAGGGUGUGUAGGCGGGACUGCAAGUCAGAUGUGAAAACUAUGAGCUUAACUCAUAGCCUGCAUUUGAAACUGUGGUUCUUGAGUGUCGGAGAGGUAAAUGGAAUUCCCAGUGUAGCGGUGAAAUGCGUAGAUAUUGGGAGGAACACCAGUGGCGAAGGCGAUUUACUGGACGACAACUGACGCUGAGACACGAAAGCGUGGGGAGCAAACAGGAUUAGAUACCCUUGUAGUC
RNAcentral lists this ribosomal RNA (442 nucleotides) under uncultured bacterium. Its description in RNAcentral is "partial 16S ribosomal RNA". It matches the Rfam family "Bacterial small subunit ribosomal RNA", at positions 339 to 795 of the family's 1533-position model. The record is from RNAcentral.